RNAcentral lists this small nuclear RNA (106 nucleotides) under Eschrichtius robustus (grey whale). RNAcentral also lists the same sequence under 2 other names. The record is from RNAcentral. Lineage: Eukaryota; Metazoa; Chordata; Mammalia; Artiodactyla; Eschrichtiidae.
GUGUCACUUUGGCAGCACAUAUACUAAAAUUGGAACCAUAUAGAGAAGAUUAACAUGGCCCCUGGGCAAGGAUAACAUGCAAAUCCGUGAAGCGUUCCAUAUUUUU